GCCAACACACUAACUCACAACGUCAAACCUAAAGAAAACCCCCACACUAUCCAGUACCACUCAAAACCCCUCACCUUUAAAUACCCGUAAGGGUAACCAUUCAGCAUAAAACAGAAAAGCUAACCCCUCAUCCCUUUUGCAUCAUGGAGAAGCAACACAAAUUUAACAACACUAAACUCCCGAACAACUAUGAGCUACUAAACCUUAAAAAUCAAUGUAUCACAAUUGAUAGAGUAACUUUUAGUAGGAGUAACAAGCCUUUCAUAUAGUUAGAUAGCUGGCUUUCCAUUAAAAAGCAUCAAAGUGCUGCCCUAUAGAAAACACUAUGCCUAAGCCCCUAUAGGUGCUAGUCUUCUGAGGAUUAGCUCAGAAGAAGGAUAAAAAUAUAGAAAUCAAACCACUUUAAAAGUAGGCCCAAAAACAGCCAACAAAUAGCGUUCUAGUUAAUAGCCACGCACUUAUAGUAAUAUCAAAGUCUAAAUUUUUCUCACUAAAGGAACCUAGCGCAACACACAACUCGCUAAUGUACCGGCAUUCUAUUAGUAUUCAACAACCAGUUUUCCACAAAACUUAAAAGAACUGAAACCAAAACCCAAAUAUAAACGAAUCUAUAUAAAGCGAACUCGGCAAUAAUGUUCUCUGCCUGUUUACCAAAAACAUCGUCUUCUGAUCACAGACAUAGAAGAUAAUGCCUGCCCAGUGAAACUUUAAACGGCCGCGUUAGCGUGAGCGUGCUAAGGUAGCGUAAUAAAUAGCCCCUUAAUUGGGGGCCAGUGAAAGGCAAGACUAGGAACACCUGUGCUUUUUAUAUUAAAAAAACUUUUCAUCUAAGUGAAAAGACUUAGAUACCAGAGGAAGACGAAAAGACCCCGCGGAACUUUACCAUCUAAAACACUGCCGCCCAGAAGCACAAAAGUGUAAUAGGUUUGAUUGGGGCAAUCUCGGAACCACCUAAGCUUCCGACCAUCACUUAUAACGCAUCCAAAAUUUGAUGUAGGCAAUAAAGCAGUUACCCCGGGGAUAACAGCGUCAUCCAACUUAAGAGUACACAUCGAAAGUUGGGUUUGCGACCUCGAUGUUGGCUUAAGGUCAUCCACAUUAGUGCAACCGCUAUGGGAGGACAGUCUGUUCGACUUUUAUACCCUUACACGAGCUGAGUUAAGACCGGCGCAAGCUAGGUUGGUUUCUAUCUCCUCUAUUAACAUUCUCCUUGAUUGUACGAAAGGACCCCAAGGGGUGCACUCAACCUAAGCACAAAAUAAACUAUCCCUCACUAACUUUAAUAGCACCUUA
Molecule: ribosomal RNA, 1293 nt
Filed under: Lamprotula cornuumlunae
Lineage: Eukaryota; Metazoa; Mollusca; Bivalvia; Unionida; Unionidae
Description: 16S ribosomal RNA
Rfam family: Bacterial large subunit ribosomal RNA
Source: RNAcentral